Molecule: long non-coding RNA, 67 nt
Organism: Etheostoma spectabile (orangethroat darter)
Lineage: Eukaryota; Metazoa; Chordata; Actinopteri; Perciformes; Percidae
Exons: 3
Source: RefSeq, a predicted model, not a curated record
ACAGUUCUUGCAAGAUUGUUUUAUUUAGCAAAGGGUCUAAGGUGUUCUGCUAAUUGGGUGUAGUGUU